Long non-coding RNA from Stegodyphus dumicola, 449 nucleotides. The record is from RefSeq and is a predicted model, not a curated record. Lineage: Eukaryota; Metazoa; Arthropoda; Arachnida; Araneae; Eresidae.
UGGCUUAGUGGUGUAUUGGCCAGCACACUCGGCUCGUAUUCGAGAUGUCCGUGGUUCGAGCUCCGGCGAGGGCAUUGCUCAUUCAUUCACGUCUACUGCAUCGAAAUAACUCUAAUGACUCUACAGGACCUAGAGGAAGGUAUAAAGUGGGCGUAUUGAAGGACAAGAAGAACAAAUAGGCAAUUCUGUGUUUUAUAGCUAUGCCAAUCAUGAAUGACGAUGCCAGUCAUACGAAGAUCUUAUAAUAUGAGCCACGUAUUGGACUAUGUGACGAUUAGAGGAGGCUGAAUGUACAUGGCUUGGACCAAUUUUUUGACAAGAUAUGGACAUUUAUGAGUUAAUACUUUAGCACAAUGGGAGCACUUGCAAUAUGUAGAUCUGGAAUUACGUAUGAGACGAUAUUAAUAGGGUAAGAGAGAAGACUCCAUCUUUUAGGUCUGUCUGAUCAU